GACGAACGCUGGCGGCGUGCUUAACACAUGCAAGUCGAACGGAAAGGCCCUGCUUUUGUGGGGUGCUCGAGUGGCGAACGGGUGAGUAACACGUGAGUAACCUACCCUUGACUUUGGUAUAACUUCAGGAAACUGGGGCUAAUACCGGAUAGGAGCUCCUGCUGCAUGGUGGGGGUUGGAAAGUUUCGGCGGUUGGGGAUGGACUCGCGGCUUAUCAGCUUGUUGGUGGGGUAGUGGCUUACCAAGGCUUUGACGGGUAGCCGGCCUGAGAGGGUGACCGGCCACAUGGGGACUGAGAUACGGACCAGACGCCUAUGGGAGGCAGCAGUGGGGAAUAUUGCACAAUGGGAGGAAGCCUGAUGCAGCAACGCCGCGUGCGGGAUGACGGCCUUCGGGUUGUAAACCGCUUUCGCCUGUGACGAAGCGUGAGUGACGGUAAUGGGUAAAGAAGCACCGGCUAACUACGUG
This 468-nucleotide ribosomal RNA is filed under the name uncultured bacterium. RNAcentral describes it as "partial 16S ribosomal RNA". It matches the Rfam family "Bacterial small subunit ribosomal RNA", at positions 28 to 507 of the family's 1533-position model. The record is from RNAcentral.